GAUGAACGCUGGCGGCGUGCCUAACACAUGCAAGUCGAGCGAUUUACUUCGGUAAAGAGCGGCGGACGGGUGAGUAACGCGUGGGUAACCUGCCCUGUACACACGGAUAACAUACCGAAAGGAAUGCUAAUACGAGAUAAUAUGCUUUUAUCGCAUGGUAGAAGUAUCAAAGCUUUUGCGGUACAGGAUGGACCCGCGUCUGAUUAGCUAGUUGGUGAGGUAACGGCUCACCAAGGCGACGAUCAGUAGCCGACCUGAGAGGGUGAUCGGCCACAUUGGAACUGAGACACGGUCCAAACUCCUACGGGAGGCAGCAGUGGGGAAUAUUGCACAAUGGGCGAAAGCCUGAUGCAGCAACGCCGCGUGAGCGAUGAAGGCCUUCGGGUCGUAAAGCUCUGUCCUCAAGGAAGAUAAUGACGGUACUUGAGGAGGAAGCCCCGGCUAACUACGUG
This 452-nucleotide ribosomal RNA is filed under the name uncultured bacterium. RNAcentral's name for it is "partial 16S ribosomal RNA". It matches the Rfam family "Bacterial small subunit ribosomal RNA", at positions 28 to 507 of the family's 1533-position model. The record is from RNAcentral.